GGGUCACAGAGUUCAACAGGGUUACAGUAGAUGGAAAGAAACUGUAGAUCUGCUUGGUAAUCUUGAAAAUGUAGAAAUCUUCAAUCUUUCAGUUUUCUUGUGUCUUUCUCUACUUUGCUAGUAAUCUAAAAAUCAGAACAAUUAUUACACUACCACUAUAAAAAUGUUUUAAUUAUUGUCCAUUUCAUGAGGCCCCUGAUGAUUUGAAAGGCCUGAGGAAAAUACAUCUUCUAGUAAGUCAGCCACUGAUUCCAGCGCUAAUCCAAGCGCUAUCUGCUCUGGUUCUUAGCAAUGGGCACUUACGUAGGACAUCAUCAAUGGGGCAUCUAAUCCAGGAGGGGCCAGCCAAUAAAUGCCUGUUUUUCAAAUACUUUGUCCUAAUUGUUCUCUUUUAGGAACAAUGGAGCAAGACAAAACAUUUUAUCUACUGAACCAAAAACGCUUUACAGUGACAGCCAUUAUUUUCCUGAGAGCUGCAACGGACCCACGACAGAGAUGGAAACCAAGUUUCCAUAAAGUCUUCAGAGUAGGUGCAACUGGUUGCAAUUACUUGAACUGAUACAUUUGGAGCAUGGUAGUGGUGUUCAGCAAUUGCAGUGCACAGGAUGGAAAACCAAUCUUUGGAACAGGUCAUACCUUGAUCAGCUGCACCAGGAAGCAAACAUUUGUCUAAAAGAAAUAUUUCUGUGGUCAGGUUUAAGCUGGGUUUCUAUAGCCUGGGAGGUUGAUCAGGCUCCUGGCUGGCCAAUCCCCUGCAUUGCCUUAAAAGGAUAUUCAAUUUCUGUUUAAGGCCCUGGCAUAUCGCCACAUGUCCCACCCAACCCACGGGACAGUAGAUGUUGAGAAUUGUGUCCUCUGAAUCUACAUGUCCUGCACAUCUAAUGCUAUUCUGGUUCUUACCAUGGUAUUUUCUUUACCAGGAACUGUAGACUAUAAUCCUUACGUAAUGGAGAGAGGGCACUUUAUUUAGCUUAUAGGACCACAACCCUGGUGUUGGCCCAUUGCACUGCCCUCUAUGAAAUUCCUGGGCUAAUCCGACCCCUGGGCUGAUCUGACCUCAGGAUUUGAACCCUGGUCUUGCAAUGAUGCAGCCAACUGUGAGUCAGUGACUUUGCUGUGGGGCCAUAUAGGGGUUGAAAUGUCACCCUUACCUUAAACCUAUCCUUAACCACGAGUGUGGUGCAGACAAGCCUUAUCCUACAUCAGCAUCAGGGCCUAUGCUCCAGUGAGAAACACUUGGCCUAAAAUCCAAACUGGCACCCUUGAAUGCAGGUCAGCUGCCACCCCUUGACAGGGCACCCGUGCUUCCAAUCAGGCUUCGUCAGGGGUAGUGUUAAAGGGCCCCAGAAAAGCAGCUCUGGGCAUGAAGAAGAAGCAGCAGGAGAAACGAGCAGGGUGAUGCUGAACAUUGCAGCUGCCCUCUGUAGAAAGCACUAGAAGAAUAAGGAUAGGAGAAGAAAAGUGCAGAGUUCACCAAAGCCAGGACCACCCCAUGAACAUCUACCAUGUGGCUAUUUUAGGAGAAGCUGCCUCACCACCACCAGUGUUUUGCCUUUGAGUUUUUUAUUGUUUGCUUAAUAAACACAUGCCAGAAACCUGCACCCUUGCACAGUAUUUGUUUCCUUGUGUCUUCUCACUGUUACUCAAGGUUAAUCUAAUGCCUAACCUUAAAUGAUGAUCACAACAUUUAGGUUUGUUUAAAAUUAUACAUUGUUGACUGUGGAAUCUGAUUUUGUGGCUAUAGAAUGUACUGAAACCUUUAUCUACCAUUAUAUAGAGUCUAUAUUGUCCUCUAACCAUAAACCUAAUAUAGCUUGCCACUUCAUGUUAUUUCUUU
Molecule: long non-coding RNA, 1837 nt
Organism: Esox lucius (northern pike)
Lineage: Eukaryota; Metazoa; Chordata; Actinopteri; Esociformes; Esocidae
Source: Ensembl